AUUGAACGCUGGCGGCAGGCCUAACACAUGCAAGUCGAGCGAGCGGCGGACGGGUGAGUAAUGUCUGGGAAACUGCCCGAUGGAGGGGGAUAACUACUGGAAACGGUAGCUAAUACCGCAUACCCUCUGAUGUGCCCAGAUGGGAUUAGCUAGUGGGUGGGGUAAUGGCUCACCCAGGCGACGAUCCCUAGCUGGGCUGAGAGGAUGACCAGCCACACUGGAACUGAGACACGGUCCAGACUCCUACGGGAGGCAGCAGUGGGGAAUAUUGCACAAUGGGCGCAAGCCUGAUGCAGCCAUGCCGCGUGUGUGAAGAAGGCCUUCGGGUUGUAAAGCACUUUCAGCGGGGAGGCGUUACCCGCAGAAGAAGCACCGGCUAACUCCGUGCCAGCAGCCGCGGUAAUAC
RNAcentral lists this ribosomal RNA (406 nucleotides) under uncultured bacterium. Its description in RNAcentral is "partial 16S ribosomal RNA". It matches the Rfam family "Bacterial small subunit ribosomal RNA", at positions 30 to 526 of the family's 1533-position model. The record is from RNAcentral.